AAUAAGGUGCCUGAUGAAAAGGGCUAUCUUGAUAGGAUAGAUCAUGUAGUGUUUACCCUUAUUA
RNAcentral lists this transfer RNA (64 nucleotides) under Catamiarus brevipennis. Its description in RNAcentral is "tRNA-Ile". Lineage: Eukaryota; Metazoa; Arthropoda; Insecta; Hemiptera; Reduviidae. The record is from RNAcentral.